UGGAUUAGGCAUGCAAGUCGUACGAACCUUCGGGUUAGUGGCGAACGGGUGAGUAACACGUGGGUAACCUGCCUCGUAGUGGGGAAUAACUCGCCGAAAGGCGAGCUAAUACCGCAUAACACCCCCGGUGAGAAUCCGGGUGGUAAAAGCUCCGGCGCUACGAGAGGGGCCCGCGGCCGAUUAGCUAGUUGGUGAGGUAACGGCUCACCAAGGCUACGACGGAUAGCCGGUCUGAGAGGAUGAUCGGCCACACUGGCACUGAGACACGGGCCAGACUCCUACGGGAGGCAGCAGUUAAGAAUCUUGCGCAAUGGGCGAAAGCCUGACGCAGCAAUUCCGCGUGGAGGACGAAGGCCCUCGGGUCGUAAACUCCUUUUGCGAGGGAAGAAGUUCUGACGGUACCUCGCGAAUAAGCCACGGCUAACUACGUGCCAGCAGCCGCGGUA
RNAcentral lists this ribosomal RNA (446 nucleotides) under uncultured bacterium. RNAcentral describes it as "bacterial SSU rRNA". It matches the Rfam family "Bacterial small subunit ribosomal RNA", at positions 45 to 522 of the family's 1533-position model. The record is from RNAcentral.